GGGGAAUCCCAUACAACUCAUAAAUAAUAAUAGUAAAAGUUGGAUUUUCAAAUGGAUUAUAUUCGAUGUGAUGAUUGAAAGUAUUCUACAUUACCGACGUUUAAGAGAUCAUUGUUAUCUUAUAUAAAUUAUGCAAAAUAAUAGCAAAAAAAUUGGCAGCGGUGGGAUUCGAACCCACGCCUCCGAAGAGACUGGUGCCUUAAACCAGCGCCUUAGACCGCUCGGCCACGCUACCUUUUCCGAAUUUUGAUAAACGUUCAAUGUCCAAUGCCCGCCAUUGAUAGGUGCAAUUAUCAAACAGUUUCCGUUCAUUCAUUCUAAGAAGAGAAAACAAUAAUUAGACAUAAAUCAUACAUAAAAUGAUAGGAGAGUUUCUAACGUUGACAUCUGCAUAGAUUUAUUUCUACUUUCAUCGAUAACGCACGUGUAGAGACAUGGUGUCUAAUUAAUCGUAGUCAAAUCAAAACACAAAGUCGUCAAGCGAGAUGGUUAGUGAUGUUAGUGAAUGCUGCAAGUCGCAGGAAAGCACGAAGUGAGGAUGCAUCCCCGCGGUGAAUUAAUCAUUUCAACAGCUGCUGUCGCAUUAGCGACAGCGGAUAAGACAAAUGAACGUCGUGGAGCUUGUUAAGACGUAAUCCGAGAGAUGCGUCUCCCGCUUCCACCUUGUACCCUCACCCCACCUCACCCCGACGCCAUCAUCCUCUUCCGUUUUCUGCCAUCGCAUCCCUCGUCUCAUCUGGGAUUAGUCUCCGAAGACUACGUUAUUACGUAUGGUAGUUACAAUAAAUACAAUUUUGUCAAGUUUGAAGAUACCAUCGUUGGAAAUAUUUCUCCCACACUUGAAAACCUUUUCUUAGAUCCGAAAGAUUGCAUUUGACAAUACUUAGGAAGAAAUUUCGAUGACAGAUAACGUCAAUGCGGGUACCGUUGAAGUUUACCAAACGAGAUAAAUCAUUUUGAGUACUAUAUUAAGAUCAUCAGCUGCUAUUUUUAUUCGCCAAGAACAGUUUUAAUCAGAGUAUAAAAGUUCAUCGUAAAGCUGGAUUAUGCGAGUCGAUAUAUAUAUAGGUAUAGAUCGACUUUUCAAACACAAGUACGCCGACGUUCUUUGGAUCUACUUCGCUUUUGUCGGACCGAGUAUUGCGCCUCUCCAUUUUGUCAUCCCCUAGUGGAGUUUCAAUGUUGUAACCAUGGAGACGUCGCGUUUCCGCAAGGGGAAUGUAUAAGGGGUGUCGAGCGUACGUAGGCAAGUAUGCUGAAUGAUUGAUGAGAAAAUUUGCUCUCGGGCCCGUCAACCUUUCAACGCUUAACGGCGUGUCCUCGGCGUUAAAUGGCCAAUGAGUUUCAUAGGAGCCAUUAAGAAAGGGGUCCUUGAUUCGUAAUGAGACUCUCAAGGAGAAUCUUAUGAUUAUCACCCAUUAGUAUAAUAGGGCGAAUGAACUUGUAAAAGAGAAAGAAAAUGAACAAGAAAAGAAUGGAAUGAAAGAGAAAAAAAAAAUCAUUUUGAUCCUUCAGGAACGAAGGGAACGUUUGUUAGUUCUGGGCCAUGUCACGAAUGCAAUUAGUGACUGAUUCGCCAAGCACUGGGAAGUCCUUCACAGUAAUAGCGAAGGGCUCUUCAAAUGUUCAAGUACUCUUCCGGUAGCGACUGCAUUUUGAUUUGCGCCCCAACGUACUGCCUUAAAGUGCAACUUUGCUUUACUGCAAACCAAUGGGAGAGAUGGGCAUACCUUUAACGGUCUUUGCUCUUUUAUACUUGUGAAUUUGUUAUACUUUUAACUGUUAUGCUAAGGUAUGACAUAUACUUUUCUGUGAUUGAUUUAGAUCCGACGGAACAUGUAUC
This is a long non-coding RNA of Polistes dominula (European paper wasp), 1843 nucleotides long. NCBI's taxonomy places the organism in Eukaryota, Metazoa, Arthropoda, Insecta, Hymenoptera, Vespidae. The record is from RefSeq and is a predicted model, not a curated record.